CAGGAUCUGUGGGGAGAUCAAUGCCACCAGCUUGGUUCAAGCAGGACCAGCACCGAAUUUCUUUUCUACUUGGUCUUACCAUUUCUUGCGUCAUGGACAAAUAACAAAUGAAGAUGUGCCAGAGGUGACUGAUAAGGAAAUCCAGAACCUGAUUCAGGAGGUAAAUUAAACAGAAUAAUUUAUUUUCUGUAAAUUGUACUAACAAGUGUUUCUGAUUGAAGGUCGAACGUGCCGAAGAAGACGCACUGACAGACCUUUCUGAUGCCAUUGUAGCAUGUGGCUACACCGGUCCAAUUCACAGCGAUCGCAAAAAGGCCAUCAUUGAGGCCAUCAGUUUGCAUUCGGUGAUGAGACUCAUACCGAUGCUAAGUCAGCUUAGAGAAGGACUGGCCAUCUAGGGUUUGGAUGAGCUGUUGCCACAACACCACCAGGCACUUCAGCCCCUCUUUCUUCCUGGGAACCUUAAACAGGUGGAUGCAGACUUCGUUGUGGAGGCACUGGCUCCUCAGUACAGUGACAAUGGAUCAGUAAGACACAAAGGAAGUGGACAUGAUCAACUUUUUGCAGGACCUCUUGCAAAACCUGGAAGAAGGAGGAACAGAUGACCAAGAUGGGAGCCCAUCAGAUGGCUGUGGAGCAAAGCAGUUGUCAGUGCAAGGAUUUUUUUCAGUGGGUUUCAGGCCAGGCACAUGUGCCACUAACAGACACAGAAAGAGAAUUUUACAAGAUAACUAAAUGUUGAUCACGACAGUACCACCCGGUAUGGACCACACUUAAUCACCUUACCUACAUGGCACGUUACUACAUACACUGACUUUGAAAGUCAGCUUACUCAGGCAGUCUGUGAUAGAUUUGAUUUUAGCAGACAUUAAGUGAAAACA
Nothobranchius furzeri (turquoise killifish) is the source of this 881-nucleotide non-coding RNA. The record is from RefSeq and is a predicted model, not a curated record. Lineage: Eukaryota; Metazoa; Chordata; Actinopteri; Cyprinodontiformes; Nothobranchiidae.